RNAcentral lists this ribosomal RNA (497 nucleotides) under uncultured bacterium. RNAcentral describes it as "partial 16S ribosomal RNA". It matches the Rfam family "Bacterial small subunit ribosomal RNA", at positions 28 to 507 of the family's 1533-position model. The record is from RNAcentral.
GAUGAACGCUGGCGGCGUGCCUAACACAUGCAAGUCGAGCGGACGGACGUGAAGCUUGUGGCGCUCAUGUUAGCGACGGACGGGAGGGUGACACGUGGAUAGCCACCAUAUAUGGCUGGGACAACUACGGGAAACCGGGCCUAGUACCAGAUAAUAUAAUCAACCGGAGGGGGCAAAUGCGCAUGAUGGUCUUGCUGUUACGUAAAGAUGUAUCCGCGCUGAAUAAGCGAGGUGGGAAGGGAAUGGCUUACCAAGGCAACGAUGCAUAGCCGACCUGAGAGGGUGAUCGGCCCUACUGCAAGUGAGACACGGUCCAGACUCCUACGGGAGGCAGCAGUAGGGUACUUUGGGCAAUGGGCGAAAGCCUGAUGGAGCAAUGCCGCGUGGGUGAAGAAGGCCUUCGGGUCGUAAAGCUCUGUUAUUAGGGAAGAACAUCUGCGUAUGUAGCUGAAGACGUAUUGACGGUACCUAAUGAAUAAGCAACGGCUAACUACGUG